Molecule: ribosomal RNA, 413 nt
Filed under: uncultured bacterium
Lineage: Bacteria
Description: bacterial SSU rRNA
Rfam family: Bacterial small subunit ribosomal RNA
Source: RNAcentral
GGGCCCGCACAAGCGGUGGAGCGUGUGGUUUAAUUCGAUGAUACGCGAGGAACCUUACCAGGGCUUAAAUGUAAGUUGCAUUAGAUAGAGAUAUCUAUUUCUUCGGACUACUUACAAGGUGCUGCAUGGUUGUCGUCAGCUCGUGCCGUGAGGUGUCAGGUUAAGUCCUAUAACGAGCGCAACCCCUGUUGUUAGUUGCCAUCGAGUAAUGUCGGGAACUCUAACAAGACUGCCGGUGCAAACCGUGAGGAAGGUGGGGAUGACGUCAAAUCAUCACGGCCCUUACGUCCUGGGCUACACACGUGCUACAAUGGCCGGUACAGAGAGCAGCCACUACGCGAGUAGGAGCGAAUCUAUAAAACCGGUCUCAGUUCGGAUCGCAGUCUGCAACUCGACUGCGUGAAGCUGGAAUC